Molecule: ribosomal RNA, 229 nt
Filed under: uncultured bacterium
Lineage: Bacteria
Description: partial 16S ribosomal RNA
Rfam family: Bacterial small subunit ribosomal RNA
Source: RNAcentral
CGGGGUGAGUAAUGUAUGGGGAUCUGCCUGAUGGCGGGGGAUAACUACUGGAAACGGUAGCUAAUACCGCAUAAUGCCUACGGACCAAAGCGGGGGACCUCCGGGCCUCGCGCCAUCAGAUGAACCCAUAUGGGAUUAGCUAGUAGGUGAGGUAACGGCUUACCUAGGCGACGAUCCCUAGCUGGUCUGAGAGGAUGAUCAGCCACACUGGGACUGAGACACGGCCCAG